AUUCUAUAUGGAUAUCAGUAGUAAUUCUAGAGUUAAUACAUGCGUCAAAACCCGACUUUUCGGAAAGGUUGUAUUUAUUAGAUUUUAACCAAUCACCUCCGGGUGGCUGUGAGGAUUCAUAGUAACUGAUCUGAGCGAGGUCUUUCCUCGCUAAAUCAUUCAAGUUUCUGCCCUAUCACUUAGAUGGAAGCGUAUUGGACUUCCAUGAGGAUCACGGGUACGGAGAAUUAGGGUUCGGUACCGGAGAGGGAGCCUGAGAAACGGCUACCACUUCUAAGGAAGGCAGCAGGCGCGUAAAUUACCCAAUCCCAAAUCGGGGAGGUAGUGACAAGAAAUAACAACUCGGGGACUCACGUCUUACGAGAUUGCAAUGAGAACAAUAUAAAUCACUUAACGAGGAACAAUUGGAGGGCAAGUCUGGUGCCAGCAGCCGCGGUAAUUCCAGCUCCACAAGUAUAUAUUAAAGUUGUUGCAGUUAAAAAGCUCGUAGUUGGUAUUCUAGACCGUUCCAGGGUCGGCUCCGGUCACUCUGAGGAUGGCCUAUCCGUCUGAGAAACAUCUGUGGCCUUCAGUGGUCAGGGUGUGGAACAGACCAUUUACUGAGAAAAAAAUUAGAGUGUUCAAGGCAGGCUAAUGCCCUGAAUAUACAAGCUUGGAAUAAUAGAACAUGACUGGAGUCAUUUUGUUGGUCAUGUGACUUUAGUAAUGAUCAAUAGGGACAAUUGUGGGCUUAAGUAUGUAAUUGUCAGAGGUGAAAUUCUUGGAUUUUUUACAGACUAACUUACGCGAAAGCAUUUGCCAAGGAUGUUUUCAUUAAUCAAGAACGAAAGUUAGGGGAUCAAAGACGAUCAGAUACCGUCCUAGUCUUAACUAUAAACGAUUCCGACUAAGGAUUAGGCGAAUCACUUUAAUUCGCUUAGCACUUCUUGAGAAAUCAAAGUCUUUGGGUUCCGGGGGAAGUAUGGAGCGCAAGUCUGAAACUUAAAGGAAUUGACGGAAGGGCACACCAGUUGUGGAGCCUGCGGCUUAAUUUGACAACACGGAAAAACUUACAAGCCUAAGACAUAGGUAGGAUUGACAGAUUGAGAGCUCUUUCUUGAUUCUAUGGGUGGUGGUGCAUGGCCGUUCUUAGUUGGUGAAGUGAUUUGUCUGGUUAAUUCCGUUAACGAACGAGACCUUAGCCUGCUAAACUAGGCGCCUGAUCCCACAUCGGGUUGUCUUCUUAGAGGGACUUUGCGUUCAAACGCAAGGAAGUAUGAGGCAAUAACAGGUCUGGAAUGCCCCUAGAUUGGCUUGGCCGCACGCGCGCUACAAUGACUCGUUCAGCAAGUUUCUUUCCUGGCCUGACAAGGUUUCGGGUAAACUUCAUAAUACGAUGUCGUGCUGGGAAUUGUCCUUUGCAAUUAUAGGACAUGAACUAGGAAUAACUAGUAACGGUAAGUCAUCAGCU
RNAcentral lists this ribosomal RNA (1450 nucleotides) under uncultured marine eukaryote. Its description in RNAcentral is "SSU rRNA". It matches the Rfam family "Eukaryotic small subunit ribosomal RNA", at positions 132 to 1636 of the family's 1831-position model. The record is from RNAcentral.